GGUCCGGUGGCGUGUAGUGGUAACGCACUCUGUUCGCGUAGCUGGCGGGAAACUGAAAUAAUGGAGGGACCGGAGUUCGAAUCUCCGACGGGCCU
This is a non-coding RNA of Mycena latifolia, 95 nucleotides long. The record is from the annotation of a GenBank genome assembly. NCBI's taxonomy places the organism in Eukaryota, Fungi, Basidiomycota, Agaricomycetes, Agaricales, Mycenaceae.